UACGUAGGGGGCAAGCGUUGUCCGGAUUUAUUGGGCGUAAAGAGCGUGUAGGCGGCCACACAGGUCCGCUGUGAAAACUCGAGGCUCAACCUCGAGCUGUCGGUGGAAACCGUUUGGCUAGAGUCCGGAAGAGGAGAGUGGAAUUCCCGGUGUAGCGGUGAAAUGCGCAGAUAUCGGGAAGAACACCCGUGGCGAAGGCGGCUCUCUGGGACGGUACUGACGCUGAGACGCGAAAGCGUGGGGAGCAAACAGG
RNAcentral lists this ribosomal RNA (253 nucleotides) under uncultured bacterium. RNAcentral's name for it is "partial 16S ribosomal RNA". It matches the Rfam family "Bacterial small subunit ribosomal RNA", at positions 524 to 776 of the family's 1533-position model. The record is from RNAcentral.